GCAGGCUGCAACUCGCCUGUAUGAAGUCGGAAUUGCUAGUAAUCGCGGAUCAGCAUGCCGCGGUGAAUACGUUCCCGGGCCUUGUACACACCGCCCGUCACACCAUGUGAGUCGGGAACACCCGAAGUCCGUAGUCUAACCGCAAGGAGGGCGCGGCCGAAGGUGGGCUUGAUAAUUGGGGUGAAGUCGUAACAAGGUAGC
RNAcentral lists this ribosomal RNA (201 nucleotides) under uncultured bacterium. RNAcentral describes it as "partial 16S ribosomal RNA". It matches the Rfam family "Bacterial small subunit ribosomal RNA", at positions 1300 to 1500 of the family's 1533-position model. The record is from RNAcentral.